UACGAAGGGGGCUAGCGUUGUUCGGAAUCACUGGGCGUAAAGGGCGCGUAGGCGGCCGAUCAAGUCGGGGGUGAAAGCCUGUGACUCAACCACAGAAUUGCCUUCGAUACUGUUUGGCUUGAGACCGGAAGAGGUUAGUGGAACUGCGAGUGUAGAGGUGAAUUCGUAGAUAUUCGCAAGAACACCAGUGGCGAAGGCGGCUGACUGGUCCGGUUCUGGACGCUGAGGCGAGAAAGCGUGGGGAGCAAACAGG
RNAcentral lists this ribosomal RNA (253 nucleotides) under uncultured bacterium. RNAcentral's name for it is "partial 16S ribosomal RNA". It matches the Rfam family "Bacterial small subunit ribosomal RNA", at positions 524 to 776 of the family's 1533-position model. The record is from RNAcentral.